Molecule: long non-coding RNA, 262 nt
Organism: Perca fluviatilis (European perch)
Lineage: Eukaryota; Metazoa; Chordata; Actinopteri; Perciformes; Percidae
Exons: 3
Source: RefSeq, a predicted model, not a curated record
AUUCGGUGGCAGGAGGGAGCAGGAACCAGUCCAUGCAGUUGAAGCUGGAGAUAGCAAACCAAAGGACACACAAACAGCUCAUCUUUGGACGCGCAUGAGGAUAUCUGCAAGUUGUUAGUGCCCCCGCAUCCUGACCCUGUGCAGCUUUCUCAUGUGACUUUGUUGAGGUUUGGCACAUGCUUGUUUCUAACCUGCUCUGAGGACAGAAAAGAAGUAAAGCCAUAUUAGGCAGAUGAUGGGCGCGGCCAGAGCUUGAUUGACA